AUUGAACGCUGGCGGCAUGCUUUACACAUGCAAGUCGAACGGUAACAGGUUAAGCUGACGAGUGGCGAACGGGUGAGUAAUGCAUCGGAACGUGCCCGAUCGUGGGGGAUAACGCAGCGAAAGCUGCGCUAAUACCGCAUACGAUCUGAGGAUGAAAGCGGGGGACCGUAAGGCCUCGCGCGAUCGGAGCGGCCGAUGUCAGAUUAGGUAGUUGGUGGGGUAAAGGCCCAUCAAGCCGACGAUCUGUAGCUGGUCUGAGAGGACGACCAGCCACACGGGGACGGAGACACGGCCCAGACUCCUACGGGAGGCAGCAGUGGGGAAUUUUGGACAAUGGGCGAAAGCCUGAUCCAGCAAUGCCGCGUGCAGGAAGAAGGCCUUCGGGUUGUAAACUGCUUUUGUACGGAGCGAAAAGGUCCUUUCUAAUACAAGGGGCUCAUGACGGUACCGUAAGAAUAAGCACCGGCUAACUACGUGCCAGCCGCCGCCGUAA
This 493-nucleotide ribosomal RNA is filed under the name uncultured bacterium. Its description in RNAcentral is "partial 16S ribosomal RNA". It matches the Rfam family "Bacterial small subunit ribosomal RNA", at positions 29 to 523 of the family's 1533-position model. The record is from RNAcentral.